GUUGAAUUUCUGCUGCAUCGUCGCAUCUCUUGCUGAGUGCUUCGUUUCGGCUUAUUUCGGAUUGAUUUUUUCUUUCCGGAUGAUUACUUUGAGAAAAUUAGAGUGCUCAAAGCAGGCUUUUGCCUUGAAUAGUUUAGCAUGGAAUAAUAAAGUAGGACUUUGGUUCUAUUUUGUUGGUUUUAGGUACCAAAGUAAUGGUUAAUAGGAACAGUUGGGGGCAUUCGUAUUUAACUGUCAGAGGUGAAAUUCUUAGAUUUGUUAAAGACGAACUACUGCGAAAGCAUUUGCCAAGGAUGUUUUCAUUAAUCAAGAACGAAAGUUAGGGG
This 326-nucleotide ribosomal RNA is filed under the name Theileria sp. Its description in RNAcentral is "SSU rRNA". It matches the Rfam family "Eukaryotic small subunit ribosomal RNA", at positions 634 to 996 of the family's 1831-position model. Lineage: Eukaryota; Apicomplexa; Aconoidasida; Piroplasmida; Theileriidae. The record is from RNAcentral.